This 1088-nucleotide ribosomal RNA is filed under the name Staphylococcus sp. Its description in RNAcentral is "bacterial SSU rRNA". Lineage: Bacteria; Bacillati; Bacillota; Bacilli; Caryophanales; Staphylococcaceae. The record is from RNAcentral.
AGGAUGAACGCUGGCGGCGUGCCUAAUACAUGCAAGUCGAGCGAACAGAUAAGGAGCUUGCUCCUUUGACGUUAGCGGCGGACGGGUGAGUAACACGUGGAUAACCUACCUAUAAGACUGGGAUAACUUCGGGAAACCGGAGCUAAUACCGGAUAACAUAUUGAACCGCAUGGUUCAAUAGUGAAAGGCGGCUUUGCUGUCACUUAUAGAUGGAUCCGCGCCGUAUUAGCUAGUUGGUAAGGUAACGGCUUACCAAGGCAACGAUACGUAGCCGACCUGAGAGGGUGAUCGGCCACACUGGAACUGAGACACGGUCCAGACUCCUACGGGAGGCAGCAGUAGGGAAUCUUCCGCAAUGGGCGAAAGCCUGACGGAGCAACGCCGCGUGAGUGAUGAAGGUCUUCGGAUCGUAAAACUCUGUUAUCAGGGAAGAACAAAUGUGUAAGUAACUGUGCACAUCUUGACGGUACCUGAUCAGAAAGCCACGGCUAACUACGUGCCAGCAGCCGCGGUAAUACGUAGGUGGCAAGCGUUAUCCGGAAUUAUUGGGCGUAAAGCGCGCGUAGGCGGUUUUUUAAGUCUGAUGUGAAAGCCCACGGYUCAACCGUGGAGGGUCAUUGGAAACUGGAAAACUUGAGUGCAGAAGAGGAAAGUGGAAUUCCAUGUGUAGCGGUGAAAUGCGCAGAGAUAUGGAGGAACACCAGUGGCGAAGGCGACUUUCUGGUCUGUAACUGACGCUGAUGUGCGAAAGCGUGGGGAUCAAACAGGAUUAGAUACCCUGGUAGUCCACGCCGUAAACGAUGAGUGCUAAGUGUUAGGGGGUUUCCGCCCCUUAGUGCUGCAGCUAACGCAUUAAGCACUCCGCCUGGGGAGUACGACCGCAAGGUUGAAACUCAAAGGAAUUGACGGGGACCCGCACAAGCGGUGGAGCAUGUGGUUUAAUUCGAAGCAACGCGAAGAACCUUACCAAAUCUUGACAUCCUUUGACCGCUCUAGAGAUAGAGUCUUCCCCUUCGGGGGACAAAGUGACAGGUGGUGCAUGGUUGUCGUCAGCUCGUGUCGUGAGAUGUUGGGUUAAGUCCCGCAAC